ACAGGUGCUGCAUGGCUGUCGUCAGCUCGUGUCGUGAGAUGUUGGGUUAAGUCCCGCAACGAGCGCAACCCUUGCCUUCAGUUGCCAUCAUUCAGUUGGGCACUCUGGAGGGACUGCCGGCGGUAAGCCGGAGGAAGGUGGGGAUGACGUCAAGUCCUCAUGGCCCUUACGGGCUGGGCUACACACGUGCUACAAUGGUGGCGACAGAGGGCGCAAGCGAGAGCGCAAGCUUUAGCAAAUCCUCAAAAGCCAUCUCAGUUCAGAUUGCGCUCUGCAACUCGGGCGCAUGAAGGUGGAAUCGCUAGUAAUCGCAGAACAGCAGGCUGCGGUGAAUACGUUCCCGGGCCUUGUACACACCGCCCGUCACACCAUGGGAGUUGGUUUGACCUGAAGACGGUGCGCUAACCCGCAAGGGAGGCAGCCGGCCACGGUCAGGUCAGCGACUGGGGUGAAGUCGUAACAAGGUAACCGUAA
This 474-nucleotide ribosomal RNA is filed under the name uncultured bacterium. Its description in RNAcentral is "bacterial SSU rRNA". It matches the Rfam family "Bacterial small subunit ribosomal RNA", at positions 1034 to 1505 of the family's 1533-position model. The record is from RNAcentral.